ACAGAAUAGAGAAUUAUAAGGACAAUUUAUAAUGAGUAGAGAAAAUUAAAUAGUUUUUACAGAUACACUUUAAAGAACUGCCAUCUAGACUCACAUAUUUGUACAAAUCCUUGAUAAACUAUAAUGUGGUAAUAAUAAAUAAGCUUUAUUUCAAGUCUGCAAGAUAUAGAGACAACAUAAGCUCUAAUGAGCUUUUAACCAUACAAGACAUUUAUAGCA
RNAcentral lists this long non-coding RNA (219 nucleotides) under Mytilus galloprovincialis (Mediterranean mussel). The record is from RNAcentral. Lineage: Eukaryota; Metazoa; Mollusca; Bivalvia; Mytilida; Mytilidae.